AACGGAGUAGAGCAGUUUGGUAGCUCGUCGGGCUCAUGAUCCGAAGGUCAACGGUUCAAUUCCGUUCUCCGUUU
Molecule: non-coding RNA, 74 nt
Organism: Eimeria maxima
Lineage: Eukaryota; Apicomplexa; Conoidasida; Eucoccidiorida; Eimeriidae
Source: Rfam